This 373-nucleotide unclassified non-coding RNA is filed under the name Canavalia wurdackii. RNAcentral's name for it is "partial external transcribed spacer". Lineage: Eukaryota; Viridiplantae; Streptophyta; Magnoliopsida; Fabales; Fabaceae. The record is from RNAcentral.
GCUUGUGCAUCGAACGGUUGGCAUACUGUCUUUAUUUUCACCAUAUGCCCAUAGCAUUUUGGUGUUUUCUCUUGGGUUCCUGUGUUGCCUACUGUUGAAAUAGUAUUAUURUGGCCUUGAAUAUAUGUUCCAUUUAGAUCUCCCCACUGGGGAUGAUGGUGGAUUUUGAUGCAAUGCAUGCAUUCCAUGAGCUUUUGUGGUAUGCAUGUAGUUGUUGUUCUUUUGGAUAUGGUGCAUGAAAUGAAUGUGGCUUGAAUUGUCCCGUUUAGUUCUUCAAAUUAUGGUUACCUUGAAAGACUUUUGCCUUGGUGCUUGUUUUAUUUUCGUUCAAGAAGAUAAUGCUUGUAUCAUGAGCUUGGUCAUUGAUGGAUGC